AAUUGCUCCCUCUCUCUCUAUCACUCUCGCUCUAUCACCCUCUCUCUAUCACUCUCACUCUCGCUCUAUCACUCUCUCUCUCUCAAUCUCUCAUAGGUCUCAACGGUUAAUUUUCCUGUUAUUUUCUAGGCAACCAAAUAGAAUCCAAUCGCUCCCUCUCUCUCGCUCUUGUUCUUUCAUAGGUCUUGGCGGUUGAUUUUCCUGUUAUUUUCUAUGCAACUAAACAGCUUCUCGACUCAAUUUUUCUAUUAUUCUCCCUCCGAUUAGGUGCAUUGGGAGUUCAGCUCAAUGGAUGGUCAAGGAGAGUUCGAAUUUCACUAUUUGUGGGAUUGAAAGCUAGAACGUUUGUGAGUUCAAAUUACAAGUGCUUGGUGGGAAGUUGGUGUAUCAGAUCACUGAGAAGAGGGCAAGUGGACCCAAGUGCCCUGUCACCGGCAAGAGAAUCCAAGGAGGCUAUCAUGCAUUGUUCUUGUUAGAUAGCUGCAGAAGCAUAUUCAAUGAGAAGAGGUCAAAAUCUACCUAUGGCUAGAGUUAGAAACAAUGGAGCUAUUACACCCCAAAAAAAAAAAAAAAAAAAACUAAAAUAUGCUGUAGUACCUCUCAUCUUGGAUGGAUAGUUGCUGAAAGAUUAGUCAAUCAACAGAUGUGAAAUGGAAAAAUUGGAAGGAGAACAGCAAAGUUUAUUGACAUUAGGUCCAAAUGGAUUUUGUAGCAAGCCUUCCCCCUGGAGUCUUUCUUAUUUUUCAGUGUUUGUGGCUUAGAUGCAAGUGGUUGGUCAGCAAGUAAUGUCCGUCCAGUUAAAUUGGACCACCUUCUACGGUUGCAGCAAUUUAUUGAUUUUUGACAAGUGCAGCUGGGUCAGUGACUUCUAGAGUAGAUUAGUUAGGACUUAGGAAGUAUAAGUUCUUUUGUACUUUUUCUACUUUGUCUCUGUUUUCUUGGUGUUGUGCAGGUCCUUAUCUUCCAUGUAAAUUAUAUCCAAGAAGUUGAGUUUUAGGUCUGAUGUCUUGAGAUUAAUGGGAAACCAGGGGAGUAUUUAUACGUUCAGUCUUUACCAACAUAUCUAAAAAAAUUGAAGAGAAAAGGUGAAUAGAGUUGUUAUUUUAUUCAUA
Quercus robur (English oak) is the source of this 1112-nucleotide long non-coding RNA. RefSeq lists it as uncharacterized. NCBI's taxonomy places the organism in Eukaryota, Viridiplantae, Streptophyta, Magnoliopsida, Fagales, Fagaceae. The record is from RefSeq and is a predicted model, not a curated record. The transcript is spliced from 4 exons.